Long non-coding RNA from Brassica oleracea var. oleracea, 1820 nucleotides. RefSeq lists it as uncharacterized. The transcript is spliced from 7 exons. The record is from RefSeq and is a predicted model, not a curated record. Lineage: Eukaryota; Viridiplantae; Streptophyta; Magnoliopsida; Brassicales; Brassicaceae.
UUACGCAAGAGAACCAAUCUAGGUUCGUUCAUCCUUCUCUUCUACAUCUGAAACUCAAGCGACGAUGGUGUUUUCCAGAAGUUUUACUGCGAAGCAUCUUCAUGCUGACUCUCUUGCUCGAGCUCAUUUCAGUCCGUUUCGUCUGGGAUUCCUUUCUUCAAACCGUUACGAAAUGCAUUGAACCAUCACAUUAACGGCCGUCUUAACUCUUCGACUCGCUUCUACCACUAUAAAAAGUUUUGGAUUCAGUUUCAUCUUCUCCAUCAACAAGCAUCUACGUGCCCUCCGCUUGAGUUGUGAUUUUACUCGAGUGACUGGUCCUAUGUGAUGCAAAGCUCUAAGUUGAUCUGAAGGAGGACAUUAGUGAUGUGAUGUCCUAGGGAGGAGAUGAAGUUUAUUUGUCAAGGAGUUUGAGUUUGUCUAAGGUUGAGCUGUGAUUGAAAUCGAGAAGAAGAUAUACAUUAAACCGUAAAGAAGAAGAAUAUGUUGUUAAUGAUCAUUUUGAGCAACCGAAGGUUGAGUUAGCGAUGGAAAGAAAUGUGAUUCAUGAACAGCAGGAACAAGCCUACACUCAGGUAGAAGGAGGGAAGUCAAAGAGAGAUUGCCAGCAACAGUAUGUGCCACGUGGAUCCCUCCAGAACCAAAGAGGUCAUCGAGGUGCUCGAAGAGGCUAUUCCAAUGCCCGAGGAGGUCGAGCUGGUGAUGGUGGCUACUCGAAUGGGCGGUAUGAAUCUUAUGAUAAUUCCGGUGGAAACAGUUACCAAAGGAGCUACUACAACAGCAGAGGAAGGGGGCGUGAUGGUGGAAAUGGCUAUUCAUACAACAACCACCGAGACUCUAACGUCACCGUUGCGUCUUCGCUUCUCUGCCUUUGGCUUUUGUGUGCGUCUCAUUAGUUUGCUCAAGUUUCCUAUCACUUAUAUAAAGCAUUUUCUCUGGUUUGGAACUUUUGGCAAUUGGUCUCUUGGUAAUUAAUUUUCUUUUUGGUUGCGAAAUGUGAAAUAAUGAUCUUUUUUUUAUGAGAGCCAGUUUAGAUAGUCAAGCAUAGAUCGUUACAUAUUCAUACAAACAUCACAAACAAUUGAAAUGACAAAGCAAAAGCUACUGAAAUAUUAGCCAAAGAGCUGAAAGUUUUGACACUUAAGUGUUAAAGUGUGUAUGUGUUUGAUAUCUCCACUGGGGAAAGGAGCUAUAAUCAAAAAAUGGUGAUACAAAAUCAGCCAGGUACGCGGAUAAUCGUUUCGAAGGUGGAAGAAAAUGCGCAUUGGAUUUCUCUGUAUGGAUUUAGCUGGAGUUGUUUAAGUUGUUUAUGUACUUCGGUGUAGCCUAUUUGGUUUGGUUAUCUGAAUAUGAAGUACGGUGGGAUUCACUCUUUAACCACUCCAGUUAAAACUACAGAUUUUUAUAAUAGUCUUUGUUCAAACUAUGCGUAGGGAAAGAAGUAAUCAGUUCAUUUUCCAAGCUUAAAUCGAAGGUCAUGUCCACUUUAGCUCAAGAUUGAGCAAGCUCUGAGUUACUACUACGAGUCCAAGAGUGAUCCAGGCAGAUGUGUUUGAAGUGUUUGCGCUUUGAAUAAAUAAUGACUUACAUGAACCAGCUUCUUUAACCAAUAACCAAUGGUUCAUUGGUAAUUGAAGUUAAUGGGAAUAUUUUUGGCUGUCUUCGACAUGGAUUUAAGAUUUGAGAUGAGUGCUCCUUCUCAAAGGACUCGAGUAAGAAGACCAGUAAAACCAACCCCAAAGUUCCAAGAAAUAUAAUGGACCAUGGUUAGAGGGAGCCGUGGUGAUCGAGGAAACCCCUUACCACCAUUUUAGGAAGUU